UCGGGAAUUUUGGGCAAUGGGCGAAAGCCUGACCCAGCAACGCCGCGUGAAGGAUGAAGUAUUUCGGUAUGUAAACUUCGAAAGAAUGGGAAGAAUCAAUGACGGUACCAUUUAUAAGGUCCGGCUAACUACGUGCCAGCAGCCGCGGUAAUACGUAGGGACCAAGCGUUGUUCGGAUUUACUGGGCGUAAAGGGCGCGUAGGCGGUGUGUCAAGUCAGUUGUGAAAUCUCCGAGCUUAACUCGGAACGGUCAACUGAUACUGUCACACUAGAGUACAGAAGGGGCAAUCGGAAUUCUUGGUGUAGCGGUGAAAUGCGUAGAUAUCAAGAGGAACACCUGAGGCGAAGGCGGGUUGCUGGGCUGAUACUGACGCUGAGGCGCGAAAGCUAGGGUAGCAAACGGGAUUAGAUACCCGUGUAGUCCCUGAGCGGGCUGGCAAGGCGCAU
This 447-nucleotide ribosomal RNA is filed under the name uncultured bacterium. RNAcentral describes it as "bacterial SSU rRNA". It matches the Rfam family "Bacterial small subunit ribosomal RNA", at positions 355 to 825 of the family's 1533-position model. The record is from RNAcentral.